RNAcentral lists this ribosomal RNA (356 nucleotides) under uncultured fungus. RNAcentral describes it as "bacterial SSU rRNA". It matches the Rfam family "Eukaryotic small subunit ribosomal RNA", at positions 20 to 370 of the family's 1831-position model. Lineage: Eukaryota; Fungi. The record is from RNAcentral.
GUAGUCAUAUGCUUGUCUCAAAGAUUAAGCCAUGCAUGUCUAAGAAUAAGCCCUUGAACGGUGAAUCUGCGAAUGGCUCAUUAAAUCAGUUAUUGUUUAUUUGAUGGUACCUUACUACUUGGAUAACCGUAGUAAUUCUAGAGCUAAUACAUGCGCCAAGCCCUGACUUUUAUUAGAAGGGGUGCAUUUAUUAGAUUCAAACCAUCGGAGGCCGCAAGGUUUCCUUUGAUGGUGAGUCAUAAUAACUUAGCGAAUCGAAUGGCUUUACGCUGUCGAUGCUUCAUUCAAAUUUCUGCCCUAUCAGCUUUCGAUGGUAGGAUCUUGGCCUACCAUGGCUACAACGGGUAACGGGGAAU